Non-coding RNA from Acanthosepion pharaonis, 104 nucleotides. The record is from the annotation of a GenBank genome assembly. NCBI's taxonomy places the organism in Eukaryota, Metazoa, Mollusca, Cephalopoda, Sepiida, Sepiidae.
UUAUGGCCAUAUCAUGUUGAAACACCAGUUCUCAUAUGAUCACUGAAGUUAAGCAAUGUCAAACCUGGUCAGCACCUAGAUGGGUGACCACUAGGGAAUACCAG